Doryrhamphus excisus (bluestripe pipefish) is the source of this 136-nucleotide small nucleolar RNA. NCBI's taxonomy places the organism in Eukaryota, Metazoa, Chordata, Actinopteri, Syngnathiformes, Syngnathidae. The record is from RefSeq and is a predicted model, not a curated record.
CCUGAGGCCUAUCCCGACCUGGUUUAACUUUGUAGGCCUGCGUCGUUGGAAAUGCCUCAAAGAACGAAGCUGCAGUUUCGCUUUACCCGCACCGUUCUUUGCCAUGAACCCUGCGGGAUAUCGCUGCACAACAUUA